Molecule: ribosomal RNA, 505 nt
Filed under: uncultured bacterium
Lineage: Bacteria
Description: partial 16S ribosomal RNA
Rfam family: Bacterial small subunit ribosomal RNA
Source: RNAcentral
GACGAACGCUGGCGGCGUGCCUAAUACAUGCAAGUAGAACGCACAGUUUAUACCGUAGCUUGCUACACCAUAGACUGUGAGUUGCGAACGGGUGAGUAACGCGUAGGUAACCUGCCUGGUAGCGGGGGAUAACUAUUGGAAACGAUAGCUAAUACCGCAUAAUAUUGAUUAUUGCAUGAUAAUUAAUUGAAAGGUGCAAUUGCAUCACUACCAGAUGGACCUGCGUUGUAUUAGCUAGUAGGUGAGGUAACGGCUCACCUAGGCGACGAUACAUAGCCGACCUGAGAGGGUGAUCGGCCACACUGGGACUGAGACACGGCCCAGACUCCUACGGGAGGCAGCAGUAGGGAAUCUUCGGCAAUGGACGACAGUCUGACCGAGCAACGCCGCGUGAGGGAAGAAGGUUUUCGGAUCGUAAAGCUCUGUUGUAAGAGAAGAACGGGUGUGAGAGUGGAAAGUUCACACUGUGACGGUAUCUUAACAGAAAGAGACGGCUAACUACGUG